Molecule: ribosomal RNA, 453 nt
Filed under: uncultured bacterium
Lineage: Bacteria
Description: bacterial SSU rRNA
Rfam family: Bacterial small subunit ribosomal RNA
Source: RNAcentral
UGGGGAAUAUUGCGCAAUGGGCGAAAGCCUGACGCAGCAACGCCGCGUGAGUGAUGAAGGCCUUCGGGUCGUAAAGCUCUGUCGGAGGGAACGAAUGCUCUUGAGGUUAACAGCCUCGGGAGGUGACGGUACCCUCAAAGGAAGCACCGGCUAACUCUGUGCCAGCAGCCGCGGUAAUACAGAGGGUGCAAGCGUUGUUCGGAAUCAUUGGGCGUAAAGGGCGCGUAGGCGGCAUGACAAGUCACUUGUGAAAUCUCUGGGCUUAACCCAGAACGGCCAAGUGAUACUGUCGCGCUAGAGUGCAGAAGGGGCAAUCGGAAUUCUUGGUGUAGCGGUGAAAUGCGUAGAUAUCAAGAGGAACACCUGAGGUGAAGACGGGUUGCUGGGCUGACACUGACGCUGAGGCGCGAAAGCCAGGGGAGCAAACGGGAUUAGAUACCCAGGUAGUCCCUG